Molecule: long non-coding RNA, 753 nt
Organism: Epinephelus moara (kelp grouper)
Lineage: Eukaryota; Metazoa; Chordata; Actinopteri; Perciformes; Serranidae
Exons: 2
Source: RefSeq, a predicted model, not a curated record
GUGUAUUUCCCACCCCAGCCCGCUAGGUGGCUGUACCUACACUAGUUGCCAACGGUUGCCAACUGCUAGUAACGGAAGAAGAAGAGGAAAAACUUUGAGGCAACAACAAUUUGGAUUUCACGGAGGCGUGAUUGGCGCGCAUGACGGAGAGCUAGUUAGAUGGUGGACCUACCAACUGGAAAGAGUGAGCGUUUUACAGCUGAGGAGACGGAUCUCCUCGUGCGGGAGGUGAAGGCCUGUCAGAACCAGAUCUACGGGGACAGCAGACAGGCACCCAAGCUACCCGAGGUAAAGCAGGCGUGGGAUCACUAAUACAAGAAAGAUCUUACUAAAUAUCUGUGGAAUAUUAUUCAAACCUGUUUUCAUCAUAUAACAGAGCACAGCUGUCAGGACUGCCGCGGAGCUCCCCAAGGUGCUGAUCCUGCAGCUAGGACCUGUUCAGCGUUUUCUCCCCCACCCACGUUUGUUAAUUGUUUUCACAUGUUUCCUAGAGCUGUGUUCUGCCUCUUAUUUGCAUGUGUGUCCUCUCUACACUCAGAUAACAAUAUAAUAAUAUAAUAUAAUGUAGCCUAGUAUAACAUGUUAAAAUAAAUGCAAUGUGUGGGCUUUGGUUUUCAAUCAAAAAAAUGAUUGAUUGGUCAGAUAAUUUCACAAUUUCAUUUGUCAUUAUUACAAAUUAUGAUGAUCAUUAUUACUGCGAUUAGAUCAUUCUGAUUAAUGACUGACCAUUAAGACGUGUUUCUGAUAAAUAUU